CAUUAUCUUUCUUCUGCUGUAAGUUUAAUUUAGUUAUUUUGUGUCAUAAUUGCCAUCUCGUAUGUUUUAAAUUUGAAUAAAGAAGAUUCAGGUUGUCUUAUACGUCAAUGAUACACACACAAAAAAAAACGAUAACAAAUAAAAUAAGGUGCAACAUUCAUUCUCCAUGAAAAGAAUACAUCACAUGGAUGUAAUUUUUGUAAGAAAAAUACCAAUUUCGUGAGAAGUUGUGUGUUGGACUUGAAGAGCCAAGGCAAACUGACAAAUAUCUGAAUGAAC
Molecule: long non-coding RNA, 279 nt
Filed under: Mytilus galloprovincialis (Mediterranean mussel)
Lineage: Eukaryota; Metazoa; Mollusca; Bivalvia; Mytilida; Mytilidae
Source: RNAcentral